RNAcentral lists this long non-coding RNA (531 nucleotides) under Anolis carolinensis (green anole). Its description in RNAcentral is "lncRNA (ENSACAG00000044188.1)". The record is from RNAcentral. Lineage: Eukaryota; Metazoa; Chordata; Lepidosauria; Squamata; Anolidae.
UGACAGGGCAGUUAUACUGAUGUUGAUCUGGAAUGGGCCACUUACAGAUCAACAUUGUUGGUAGCGACACCGUCAGCUCCUGAACCAGCCCAGUGGCUGCAUGGCAGCUGCACGGGCAAGCGGCACUGAAACUGGAUCAGCAGUGUUGCUACUAGAGGUUUACAAUAGGCUUUUUCUAAGUAACUGGGAGGAUUAGAACCUUUUCUGUUACAGCUGCCACAAGUUAAUUGGGUGUGUUAUCAACUUCUGCAUAAAACAAGGCACUAAGUUUGUAAGCUUUGAGCUUUGCAUUUGGCUUAGCUUGAUGGCUCGUUGAGAGCUGAAGAAGCUGUUUUUGGGAGUAGUUAUGCAACGUCCUGAGCAUUAAGCUGUUUGGAGUGCCAAGGAAGGCAAGAUAAGAACAUUCUUCAAAAAACAAAGUUGCAGUUUGUUUGCAUGCUGUUGUUUGAAGAAGACUCACCGAAGAUAUUGUUUGUUAUUGAAUGCAAAGAAGAACUUUAUACCUUACCAUUUAAAGUUAUAAGUGGAUGA